RNAcentral lists this ribosomal RNA (1689 nucleotides) under Triticum aestivum (bread wheat). Its description in RNAcentral is "partial small subunit ribosomal RNA". The record is from RNAcentral. Lineage: Eukaryota; Viridiplantae; Streptophyta; Magnoliopsida; Poales; Poaceae.
AUGGCCGAGCUGCGGCACGGCACGGUGGCGGCGGCGGCGGCCCGCGCCUCCGGCUCGCCCGCGAAGCGCGAUGCGGAGGCCGCCUCCGCCUCCGCAUCCUCUCCCUUCCUCUCCUCCCCACGCGGCGACGGCGGCAAGGACGGCGCGCUGCGCCCGCCCCCUCCGCUCCACCAGAGGUACCCGCUCCCGGCCGCCGUCCGCGCCCUCCUCGCGCUGGAGGACCCCCGGUCGCCCUCCGCCCCGCCCUCCUACCGGAUCCUGCUCGCCGUCCUCGCCUGCGUCGCCCUCGGCGCGCUCGUCUCCGCCCCCUCCGUCUGGUCGCGCCUCAACGCGCCCUACCUGUGCCGCAAGGAUGGGAUUCGGCUCCAGUGCCCCGGGGUGAGCAACUCUCUGUGGGAGAAUCCGCAUGCCGCCGCCACGUCUUGGAAGCCGUGUGCUGAGCGACGCAGCGACGAGAUCUCAGAUCUUGUGUCAGAGAACGAAACUUCUGGGUAUAUUUUUAUUCAUGCUGAGGGUGGAUUAAACCAGCAACGCAUAGCUAUAUGUAAUGCUGUCGCAAUUGCUAAGAUAAUGAACGCCACACUUAUUUUGCCUGUGCUGAAGCAGGAUCAAAUAUGGAAAGAUCAAACGAAAUUUGAAGAUAUCUUUGAUGUAGAUCAUUUUAUAAAUUAUUUGAAGGAUGAUGUGCGCAUUGUUCGAGAUAUUCCUGACUGGUUCACAGAAAAAGAUGAGCUGUUCACCAGUAUAAGGCGUACUGUAAAAAAUAUCCCAAAAUAUGCACCAGCGCAGUUUUAUGUUGAUAAUGUACUUCCAAGGAUCAAAGAGAAAAAGAUAAUGUCUAUCAAGCCAUUCGUUGAUAGAUUGGGAUAUGAUAAUGUUCCAAUGAAGAUAAACCGGCUCAGGUGUAGAGUUAAUUAUCACGCAUUAAAGUUUCUACCUGGCAUUGAAGAAAUGGCUGACAAGCUGGCAACAAGGAUGCGGAAUCGAACUGGAAAUGUAAAUCCAUACAUGGCUCUUCAUCUUAGAUUCGAGAAAGGAAUGGUGGGUUUAUCCUUUUGUGAUUUUGCUGGAACCAGAGAGGAGAAAGCAAUGAUGGCUGAAUAUAGACAGAAACAAUGGCCAAGACGCUUCAAGAAUGGAUCUCACCUUUGGUCUUUAGCACUGGAAAAGAGAAAAGAAGGCCGCUGCCCGCUUGAGCCUGGGGAAAUAGGUUUCAUUCUGCGUGCAAUGGGAUAUACGAAGGAGACUCAGAUAUAUGUUGCAUCAGGGCAAGUGUAUGGUGGAAACAAUAGAAUUGCACCGCUGAGGAAUAUGUUCCCCAAUUUGGUUACCAAAGAAGAUCUCGCAAGCAAGGAGGAGAUAGAGCAUUUCAAGAAGCAUGUAACCAGCCUUGCUGCAUUGGACUUCCUGGUAUGCCUGAAGUCGGACGUAUUCGUCAUGACCCAUGGCGGCAAUUUUGCGAAGCUGAUCAUCGGGUUCCGCCGCUACAUGGGGCGGCAUAGGCUCAAGUCUAUCAAGCCGGACAAGGGGCUCAUGUCGAAGUUCUUCGGCGACCCCUACAUGCCAUGGGCGACUUUCGUGGAGGAUGUGAUGAUCACUCACCAGACACGAACAGGCCUCCCCGAGGCCACCUUCCCGCACUAUGACCUCUGGGAGAACCCUCUCUCCCAUUGCAUGUGUAGAGCAUAA